Molecule: ribosomal RNA, 880 nt
Filed under: Phanerochaete aculeata
Lineage: Eukaryota; Fungi; Basidiomycota; Agaricomycetes; Polyporales; Phanerochaetaceae
Description: LSU rRNA
Rfam family: Eukaryotic large subunit ribosomal RNA
Source: RNAcentral
AGGAUUCCCCUAGUAACUGCGAGUGAAGCGGGAAAAGCUCAAAUUUAAAAUCUGGCAGCUUUGGCUGUCCGAGUUGUAAUCUGGAGAAGCGUCUUCCGCGCUGGACCGUGUACAAGUCUCCUGGAACGGAGCGUCAUAGAGGGUGAGAAUCCCGUCUUUGACACGGACUACCAGUGCUUUGUGAUGCGCUCUCAAAGAGUCGAGUUGUUUGGGAAUGCAGCUCAAAAUGGGUGGUAAACUCCAUCUAAAGCUAAAUAUUGGCGAGAGACCGAUAGCGAACAAGUACCGUGAGGGAAAGAUGAAAAGCACUUUGGAAAGAGAGUUAAACAGUACGUGAAAUUGCUGAAAGGGAAACGCUUGAAGUCAGUCGCGUUUGCUAGGACUCAGCCUUGCCUCGGCUUGGUGCACUUCCUAGUAGACGGGCCAGCAUCACUUUUGGCUGCGGGAGAAAGAUCAGAGGAAUGUGGCACCUUCGGGUGUGUUAUAGCCUCUGGUUGUAUGCCGUGGCUGGGAGUGAGGAUCUCAGCACGCCUUAUGGCGGGGCUUCGGCCACCUUCGUGCUUAGGAUGCUGGCGUAAUGGCUUUAAACGACCCGUCUUGAAACACGGACCAAGGAGUCUAACAUGCCUGCGAGUGUUUGGGUGGAAAACCCGAGCGCGUAAUGAAAGUGAAAGUUGGGAUCUCUGUCGUGGAGAGCACCGACGCCCGGACCAGACCUUCUGUGACGGAUCCGCGGUAGAGCAUGUAUGUUGGGACCCGAAAGAUGGUGAACUAUGCCUGAAUAGGGUGAAGCCAGAGGAAACUCUGGUGGAGGCUCGUAGCGAUUCUGACGUGCAAAUCGAUCGUCAAAUUUGGGUAUAGGGGCGAAAGACUAAUCGAA